Molecule: ribosomal RNA, 582 nt
Filed under: uncultured bacterium
Lineage: Bacteria
Description: bacterial SSU rRNA
Rfam family: Bacterial small subunit ribosomal RNA
Source: RNAcentral
CGCACAAGCGGUGGAGCAUGUGGUUUAAUUCGAAGCAACGCGAAGAACCUUACCAAGCCUUGACAUCCCGGUGACGGAUGGGUAAUGCCAUCUUCCCUUCGGGGCAGCGGAGACAGGUGGUGCAUGGUUGUCGUCAGCUCGUGUCGUGAGAUGUUGGGUUAAGUCCCGCAACGAGCGCAACCCUUAUCCUUAGUAGCCAGCGGGUAAAGCCGGGCACUCUAGGGAGACUGCCAGGGACAACCUGGAGGAAGGCGGGGAUGACGUCAAAUCAUCAUGCCCCUUAUGGCUUGGGCUACACACGUGCUACAAUGGCGUAAACAAAGGGAAGCGAGCCUGUGAAGGUAAGCGAAUCCCAAAAAUAACGUCCCAGUUCGGAUUGUAGUCUGCAACUCGACUGCAUGAAGCUGGAAUCGCUAGUAAUCGCGAAUCAGAAUGUCGCGGUGAAUACGUUCCCGGGUCUUGUACACACCGCCCGUCACACCAUGGGAGUCGGGAAUGCCCGAAGCCGGUGACCUAACCGCAAGGAAGGAGCCGUCGAAGGCAGGCCUGGUAACUGGGGUGAAGUCGUAACAAGGUAACCGU